RNAcentral lists this long non-coding RNA (8830 nucleotides) under Brassica napus (rape). RNAcentral's name for it is "long non-coding RNA (BNAP_LNC018204)". Lineage: Eukaryota; Viridiplantae; Streptophyta; Magnoliopsida; Brassicales; Brassicaceae. The record is from RNAcentral.
CGAGGAAUUCUAUGGGAGAGUUCUGGACAACUCUGGCAUUUUAUCUUCAGCAAAUGGGAGCUGCAAAUUACAGACAGAAAAAUUAUGGAAGAGAUUGUAUCCUAUGGAGUCCUAUGACCUUGAUUUGGAUAAGGCAAUCUCAGAGCCAAUUUCUCCUCUUGAGAAAUGCACGACCUAUGAUCUUGUUUCAGCUGCCAAGAGGCAAAGCUCAUUUUAUCUUGAGGUACAAUAAUGAACUUGACUAAAUUAAAUAACAUAUGUUUUACAAGUUUGAAUUUGAAUAUAUUUACAUGAUUUAUAUUGAGUUUGAGUACUUUCUGAUAAAAGCUUGCAUUUUAAAUAUUUAAUCUACAACUGAAAUAUUUUGAAAUUCAUAUAAAUACUUCCAAUACAUAUAAUAAAUGGGUGUGUUACAAGGUUUCUAAGCCAUUUGUUGGCGUAUCUUUGCUACAGGUUUCAAGAGCCAAUGUGGACAGUGAGAUCAUUAUGGAAGAAGCUGUUGGUAGAUACAAAGCAUUCCUCUACUUAAUCAAGGAAAACCGUGAAAAGACGAUCAGACUAAUCAGUGUUCCGACUUAUGAUAUUGAUCUAAUUUGGCAUACACAUCAGCUGAACCCUUCCUCUUACUACAAGGAUAUGGUAAAGAUCUUUGGUAACAUCUUACAGCAUGAUGAUACGGCAGACUCUGCCACAAGCGAAGGUAUGAAUCUCGACACUGUUUUCUCUGGAACUACUGCGCAAUGGGAAGAAACAUUUGGUCAAAGGUAUUGGAAAGCCAGCAUGGAUACGACGCCACAUACUUCAGCUAUGGUGGAGACUGAGAGGAGCGGUGCAGGUGCUAGAUGCUUGGCUGAGGCUGCUGAGAAAUGUAGUGCUGGUGCUAGGUGCUUUGCGGUGGAGGCUGAGAAGACCAGUGCUAGGUUUUUUGCUGUGGAUGCUGAGAAGAAAAAUGCUAGGUGCUUUGCAUUGGAAGCUGAGAAGAACAGUGCGAGGUGCUUUGCUCUGGAAGCUGAGAAGAACAGUGCUAGGUGCUUUUCUGUAGAGGCUGAGAAGAAAAAUGCAACGUGCUUUGCAGUGGAAGCUGAGAAGAACAGUGCUAGGUGUUUUGCUGUGGAGGCUGAGAAGAACAGUGCAAGGUGCUUUGCAGUGGAAGUUGAGAAGAAAAGUUCUAGGAGAGUUGCUGUGGAGGCUGAGAAGAAAAAUGCUAGGGGCUUUGCUAUGGAGGCUGAGAAGAAAAAAGCAAGGUGUUUUGCAGUGGAAGCCGGGAAGAACAAUGCUAGGUGUUUUGCUGUGGAGGGUGAGAAGAAAAAUGCAAGGUGCUUUGCAGUGGAAGCUGGGAAGAACAAUGCUAGGUGUUUUGCUGUGGAGGCCGAGAAAAAAAAUGCAGGGUGCUUUGCAGUAACAAAUGGUAAGCGCAGUGCAAGAUGCUUUGCAAUGGAAGUUGAGAAGAAAAACGCAAGGUGCUUUGCAAUGACAGAUGGUAAGAGCAAUGCAAGGUGUUUUGCAAUGGCCUCUGGAAAGAACAGUGCAAGGUGCUUUGCAGUGGGGGCUGAAAAGAAUCGUGGAUGUGGAUGUGGUAAUUUGAUGAAGAACAAUGCUCAGGAAAAUGCUCCACUGGCGGAAGGCGCUACUGCAGCUUAAUUAAUUACUCGACUGAAGAAGUUCUAAUGUGUAAUGCCAAUGUAAAAUAUAUGUAAUAUAUGAUCUGGAAAUGAUGUGAAACUAAUGAGUGAUGUUUCAAAUGUUACAUGUUAUAAACAUGUACAUGCUAAUGUAAAUAAAUAAGUUACAACAGUUUAAUAUCGAUUUGAGUGUUUAUAUUGGAGUGGUGUGUUAAGGGUUGAACUAGGUGGUUGUCCAUGAAUUUAUGGAUAUAAAUAUUGUAUAAAAAAAUAUAUAUUAUGUAUAAAAUGUUAUAUACUUUGAAAGAUUAAAAGUAUAAUUUUUAACAUCAAAUAGUUUGAAAAUCAGUUGUAAAGUUUAUAUAAAUUUGAUGUAAAAAUAACUAAUGAAUACUUAUUAAUAACAAAUGUUUGCGACAUUAUAUAUGUAAUUAUCACAUUAAUUUCACCAACACAUAUUAUGCAUCUUCUUCGGCCUCUUCUUAUUUAUCUCAUUAUCAUUUCGUUCUUUUUAUUAAAUUUGUGCUAAUGUUUUCCUAAAUUUUUACUUAUUUUUGCUAAACAUGUAUUUCUCUCUCUAAAUAGUAAUACAAAACAUACAAUCAAUAAACCAAAAAUCCAUCUUAGAAUUCUUUUCAAUCAUAACAUUACCACAUUCACUAUAUUAUCUUACGUAAAUGCAAAACAUUUUUUCAAUCAAAGUUUCCGCAUGUCCCGUUAAAUAUAAUUCAUCCAAUUUUCAAAACCUAAUUAUUUAUAAAGCAUAUAUGGAUAUUAUAAGAGAUUAUUUAGUAUUAUAGAUACAACUAUAUUUUUAUAAGAUUAAAAUAUAUUUAUAUAUUUUCAAAGAUUUAUACAAAAAGUCACGACUUUAGAUAUUUGAGAUAGUUAUUUUAGGUUAGUAUCUAUACGAUAUAUUUUGAAUAGAAAUAUCAUUGAAAAAUAUACUCUAUUGAAUAAUGAACAUAAAGAAACUUAUUGAGAUAUUUUAACAAUUAAAAAUUAUCUUUUAUGAUGAGAAGACACAACUCUUAAAACUAAUAAUUGUGGAAAUACACAUAUUGGGAUAUUUUAACUACUUUUUAAAACUACUUUAUUUUUUAUAAUAAAAAGACACAACUCUUAGAACUAAUACAUUUCAGUUUUUUUUAAUGAAAACCACAACUUCUAAACAUUAGUUGAGAUUCCUAUUAUUAAUUAUAUUAAUUGGUACAUAUGAUAUAUAUAUUAGAUUAUUUUUUUGCAAAAUAAUUUUAAAUUUCUCAUAUUUAUAUAUUUAAACAGGUUUUAGUUUUUACAAUUUUAAACUAUUCAUAUAUGUUAAACUAUAUUUAUAAACAUAGAAAUUAUGUUUGAAGUAUAUUUUAUGUUCAUUUUAAAAAAAUAAUGAGUAAAUAUUAGUUUUAUACUUAUAUUUUAUGUAAGAUCAUAUAUCCGUCUAGCUCCGUUUGGGCGUUCGCGUACAUGGUUAGUUGCUAAAUAUUUAUCUUCCGCGAAAUGAAUGUCGCACGUUGUAGAAUACUGAUUGAAAAUAAGUCUCACGUGUACCUAUCUAGUGAAAGUUAAAAAAUAUAUGCUCAUUCGCAUAGAACACUUGCUUCAUAUGUGUUUAAAAAUAAAAAUUGACGUUUUUUUACUACAGUUAUAAUCAAUUUAAGCAUACGAAUCUUACAAGUUGCAGAUUCAUAUCUAAGAUAAAUUCUCCAAAUCGUUUACGAAUGGUCGUUUAUGAGAAUCAAAUAUACAAAGACCUCAAAAAUAGGUAAUCUUCAAGUAGUUUCCUUUUUGACCAAGUGUUCUUUUCAUUCUGCGGGGUGCACAGUACUUUUUCUGCCUUCAACAUUUGUAUUUUACACCAUUCAGAAAGGGAGUCUAAUGAUUCACAUAGUCGGUGUUUUUCAACUUAGUCGGUUUUGAAACAGAUACUUUGUUUUUCAUGCUAUAAAUUUUUUUUAACCGUCACUAGGAAAAACAAGAACCACUAGAAUAUGACGUUUAGGCGUUAACCUCAAUUUUAACUAAAAGCCAAAUGAUUAUUUUUGACCCAUGAUGACUCAGUUUUGUAACUGACAUUUUGAAUAUAUAAUGUUAGUUUUUAAAAAAAAAACUUUAUUCGUUUUGUCACUAGUAUUUUGUUUUCGAUGUCUGUUUUCAAGUGAUGUCAAAUUUGGAAAAAUAACGUUAAAAGCCGUUUUAUUUUCAUUUUCUAUUUUCAAUUUCUUUUAAUUUUUUCACCUUUCAAUUUGCUAUUAAUUACUACUCUAUUAUUUUAAAAGGUUCUAAUAAAACUCAACAAGCGUUAUGCAAAUAUAACCAAACAAACACUUCUUUUUUUCUUUCAAACAAACACUUUUCUUUUCCCAAACAAAUACUUGGUUAAGGUAAGACAAAGGUCAAAUAAGAAAAGAGUAACAUCUCUUUGAGUUUUAAUACAAUUAGUAACGUCUUUUGAGUUUGUACAGAAGUUAAGUAGAAACCGUGCUAUAUAUAGAAACAUUUGAAACACUCCUCUCAAACUCGAAUCAACUUCGUCAUCAGAGAAAAAUCCCCUUGAGGAAUAUAGUUUGAAUUCUUCUUAUUCAUACUUCAAGAAUUUAAAGAUUUAAACUUUUGGGGGUUUUCUGUUUCUAGGGUAGAAAAAUCUCAUUAAACCAUCGGCAAUCUCUUGCUCAUGGUUUUAGAAGUUGUAGUUUGAAUUCUUCUUGUUUAUACUUUACAGAUGAAGUUUUCACAAUUGACAGGAAUGGAGAAAGAAAUAGUGCAAAAUUUGGAGUGGCUUGAAGCUCAGAAAAUAGAGAUAAGCAUUGACCUAAUUGCUGAAGCCAACAAACAUCUUCAGUUUCUCGGAGUUGUUGACCGGAACCGGUGGCUGUACGAUGGUCCUGCACUCAAAAGAGCCAUCUACAGAUAAUUAAACAGAACCACGAUAAAAAGUAAUAAAAAAUAAACAAAAUCACCCAUGGGGUUUGCAUCACACAAGUAAAUACAUUUACAUAAUUUAAUGUUUAUUUAAUUCUAUGUAACAUUUAUUUUUUUCUGAUUAGCUAAGUUUAAAGGGCUUAUUUGUGAUAUAACCAAAAAAAGUGAAAUUAGUUUUAUAGAGAUAGAAUAGAGAGAGAUGGAAAGAAGAAAGCGGAGAUAGAGACUGAUAUUGCUUAGAUAAUGAAUUAUAGUUUUUUGUAUUAUCUCACCCAAUUUCCCAAGUUUAAAUUAAUGAUAAUUAAACAAUAUUGCUACAAUCACCAAUUUAUUAAAUCUAAGGAAAAGAUCUAACCUUUUAGUUUGCGAAUAUAUCUUUGUUUGUUUUUCCUUUCCGUUUACAUAAUUCUCAAAUCAGUAAUUUGGUGAUUUAUUUUUCAGAUACAAUGCCUACAGGCUUCUUUCGCUAGCAAAACAUUAUGAGUCUUCCUCAAUCUGCGAAGAACCACUAGUCUCUCCAAUUGACUGUGAAUGGGUUUGGCAUUGCCACAGGCUUGACCCGGUAAAUGUAAGCAUUGUAUAUCUUUGCAUACAACUCACAUAUGAAAAAGCACACUGUAGCAAAAUAAAAGCACACGGUAGUAGAGUAGUGAACAGUGGGAGGUAAAAUAUGUAGCUCACUAUUUUGUUAAUCAUCCAGGUGAGGUACAAGUCUGACUGUGAGGAAUUCUAUGGGAGAGUUCUGGACAACUCUGGCAUUGUAUCUUCAGCAAAUGGGAGCUGCAAAUUACAGACUGAAAAAUUAUGGAAGAGAUUGUAUCCUAUGGAGCCCUGUGACCUUGAUUUGGAUAAGGCAAUCUCAGAGCCAAUUUCACCUCUUGAGAAAUGCACGACCUAUGAUCUUGUUUCAGCUGCCAAGAGGCAAAGCUCAUUUUAUCUUGAGGUACAAUAAUGAACUUGACUAAAGUAAAUUACAUAUGUUUUACAAGUUUGAAUUUGAAUAUAUUUACAGGAUUUAUAUGGAGUUUGAGUACUUUCUGAUAAAUGCUUGCACUUAAAAUAUUUAAUCUACAACUGAAAUAUUUUGAAAUUCAUAUAAAUACUUCCAAUACAUAUAAUAAUAUUAAUGGGUGUGUUACAAGGUUUCUAAGCCAUUUGUUGGUGUUUCUAUGCUACAGGUUUCAAGAGCCAAUGUACAUUUUCUAUAAAAAAACACUAUUACCUAUACAGCUAACCAUAUUUCAACCAAUAGAAAAAUAAAUUUUGCAUAAAAUUAAUAAAUUUUGCAUUGAAAAUCGAAAACGACACUUAUUUUGUAACGAAAAAAAUUCUCUAAAACGACACUUAAUAUGAAACGGAGGGAGUACUUUGUUUUCAUGCUAUAAAUCGUUUUUAACCAUCACUGGGAAAAACAAGAACCACUAGAAUAUGACAUUUAAGCUUUAACCUAAACUAGGUUAAGAUCCACGCCUUGCGCAGAAUAAAUAUUAUAAAUAAAUUAGUUUUACAUAUUAUAUUUUCUUUUACAUAUUAGUAAAUUAUACAUGUAUAUUGAUAACUAAAAAUUCAGUAACUAUUAUGUAUAUGGUGCAAACACAUAAAUUUUUUUUAUUAAUUCAAAUAAACAUUUUUUCUAUUUUAUAUGAUAUAAAAUUAAGUUUUAAUGAUAUUAAUAUUAAUAUUGAUAUCUGUUAUAUAAUAUUUUACACUCAUAUUGUUUUUUGAUCAUUUGUAUUUUUAAUAAGAAAAAGAUUUGAAUCACUAAUAACAAAUAUUUUUGUGGGAUGUUUAAUAGUUUUAGUCAUUUAUAAUUUUAAAAACAUUAUGAAAUGUUUUAAAACUAAAUAUUAAGUUGUCAUAAUUUGUUCAAAUAUUUUAUAAAAAAAAAUCAAAGCAGAUUUCGAAAUUCAAAUACAUAUGUAUUUCUAUAUGGUACAUAAUUUAUUUUAAACAAUAUUAAUAUAUUAAUAUUUAUUAAAUUAUACUUUUUAUUAUAUAAUUUUGUAAUCAUUUAUAUACUGUUAUAACAAAAAAUUUAACCAUAGAUCAAAAAAAUUUUAAUGUGAGAUUUUUGACAACUUUAGUCAUAUAUAGUCGUUUUUAAAAAUUCAAAAUAUAACAUAUACAGAAAAAUCUAAUUUCUUUCUGUAUAGUUAAUGUGGCUGUUUAAUUUAUUUUAAUAGGUUGAUUUUUUAAAAAAAAUAGAGAAUAGACUAAUUUUUAUCAAAUCUUUAUUAUUCAAAAUUAUUAAUUGUCAUAUAUACUUUAGUAACAUUUGGUAAUUAUGUUAUUUUUAUUUUAGGAAACAAUGAAGAACAUUAAAAAUUAAUUUAUGAUUAGUUUAAUAAAAAUCUUAUUAUAUAUUUUGAUAGACCAAUAUAUUUUUCUAAAGAUUCUAAUAAUGAUUGUGGUAUGACAUGCGUCUACCAAAAAAUAUUGUGAUGUUUCUCUUUUAAUAUAUAGGAGAUUUUAACUAAAAGCCAAAUGAUUAUUUUUUUACCCAUGAUGACUCGUUUUGUAACUGACAUUUUGAAUAUAUAAUGUUAGUUUUUUUUAAAUUUAUUGGUUUUUUCAAUAGUGUUUUGUUUUCAAUGUCUGUUUUCAAGUGAUGUCAACUUUGGAAAAAUAAUGUUAAAAAGCCGUUUUGUUUUCAUUUUCAAUUUUCAAUUUCUUUUAAUUUUUUUACCUUUUGAUUUGCUAUUAAUCACUACUCUAUUAUUUUAAAAGGUUCUAAUAAAACUCAACAAGCGUUAUGCAAAUAUAACCAAACAAACACUUCUUUUUUUCCAAACCAAUACUUGGUUAAUGUAAGACAAGUGUCAAAUAAGAAAAGAGUAACAUCUCUUUGAGUUUUCAUACAAAACGUAACGUCUUUUUGAGUUUUUGUACAGAAGUUAGUAGAAACCGUGCUAUAUAUAGAAGCAUUUGAAACCCUCCUCUCAAACUUGAAUCAACAUCUUCAUCAGAGAAAAAUCCCGUUGAGGUAUAUAGUUUGAAUUCUUCUUGUUCAUACUUCAAAAGUUUAAAGAUUUAAACUUUUGGGGGUUUCUCAUGUUUCUAGGGUAGAAAAAUCUCAUUAAACAUCUCUUGCUCAUGGUAUUGGAAAUUGUAGUUUGAAUUCUUCUUGUUUAUACUUUGCAGAUGAAGUUUUCACAAUUGACAGGAAUGAAGAAAGAAAUAGUGCAAAAUUUGGAGUGGCUUGAAGCUCAGAAGAUAGAGAUAAGCAUUGACCUAAUUGCUGAAUCUAAGAAACAUCUUCAGUUCCUCGGAGUUGUUGACUGUAACCAGUUGCUCUACGAUGGUCCUGCACUCAAAAGAGCCAUCUACAGGUAAUUAAACAAAACCACCAACGCGGUUUGCAUCACGCAAGUAUAUAAAUUUACUUAAUUUAAUCUUUAUUUAAUUCUAUGUUAUAUAUUUUUUUUCUGAUUAGCAAAGUUUAAAAUAAUGAUAAACAAUAUUGCUACAAUCACCAAUCUAUUAAAUCUAAGGAAAGGACCUAACCUUUUAGUUUACGAAUAUAUCUUUUUUUUUUGUUUUUCCUUUCCAUUUACCUAAUUCCCAAAUCAAUAAUAAUUUGGUGAUUUAUUUUUCAGAUACAAUGCUUACUGGCUUCCUUUGCUAGCCAAACAUUCUGAGUCUUCCUCAAUCUGCGAAGGACCACUAGUCCCCCCAUUUGACUGUGAAUGGGUUUGGCAUUGCCACAGGCUUAAUCCAGUAAAUCUAAGCAUUGUAUAUAUCUUUGCAUACAAUUCACAUAUGAAAAAGCACACUGUAGCAAAAAAAAAAGCACACCGUAGCAGACUAGUGAACAGUGGGAGGUAAAAUAAGUAGCUCACUAUUUUGUUAAUCAUCCAGGUGAGGUACAAGUCUGACUGCGAGGAAUUCUAUGGGAGAGUUCUGGACAACUCUGGCAUUUUAUCUUCAGCAAAUGGGAGCUGCAAAUUACAGACAGAAAAAUUAUGGAAGAGAUUGUAUCCUAUGGAGUCCUAUGACCUUGAUUUGGAUAAGGCAAUCUCAGAGCCAAUUUCACCUCUUGAGAAAUGCACGACCUAUGAUCUUGUUUCAGCUGCCAAGAGGCAAAGCUCAUUUUAUCUUGAGGUACAAUAAUGAACUUGACUAAAGUAAAUUACAUAUGUUUUACAAGUUUGAAUUUGAAUAUAUUUUCAGGAUUUAUAUGGAGUUUGAGUACUUUCUGAUAAACGCUUGCACUUAAAAUAUUUAAUCUACAACUGAAAUAUUUUGAAAUUCAUAUAAAUACUUCCAAUACAUAUAAUAAUAUUAAUGGG